This 467-nucleotide ribosomal RNA is filed under the name uncultured bacterium. RNAcentral's name for it is "bacterial SSU rRNA". It matches the Rfam family "Bacterial small subunit ribosomal RNA", at positions 29 to 481 of the family's 1533-position model. The record is from RNAcentral.
AACGAACGCUGGCGGCAGGCUUCACACAUGCAAGUCGCGCGAUUAAAGCCCCUUCGGGGGUGUAUAAAGCGGCGAACGGGUGAGUAACGGGUGGACAACCUGCCUUUCGGUGGGGGACAACGGCUGGAAACGGCCGCUAAUACCGCAUACGAUCUUCCGGUCUUCGGUCCGGGAGAGGAAAGGGGCUUCUGGCCUCGCCGAGAGAUGGGUCCGCCUCCCAUUAGCUAGUUGGUGAGAUAACAGCUCACCAAGGCGACGAUGGGUAGCCGAGCUGAGAGGUUGAUCGGCCACACUGGAACUGAGACACGGUCCAGACACCUACGGGUGGCAGCAGUGGGGAAUAUUGCACAAUGGGCGAAAGCCUGAUGCAGCCAUGCCGCGUGGAGGAUGAAGGCCUUCGGGUCGUAAACUCCUUUUCUGAGGGAAGAACAUCCGGGGCAGGAAAUGGCCCCGGCUGACGGUACCUC